GAGGGUGUCGCUUAAUGGUAGAGCAUGUGCUUGGCAUGCACAAGGCACUAGGUUCAAUUCCUGGCACCCCA
Non-coding RNA from Heterocephalus glaber (naked mole-rat), 71 nucleotides. Lineage: Eukaryota; Metazoa; Chordata; Mammalia; Rodentia; Bathyergidae. The record is from Rfam.